GAAUGAAACGCGAACUUCAGUUUGCGGUCCCAACAAGCAAAAUUGCGAGCCAGCUCUAUAAGAGUCUACAAAAAAUGAAGAAGGUAUGGUUGUUAAUAGUGCUGUCAUUAUCAACGUCCGUUUUGCAUCAUGCUUCGGCCAGGUACUGCGACUAUAAGGAGAGCUUACACCGCUUUUGGAACGGUUCUUGCUUGUUCAGGCAUGUUUACUUGAGGGACGGGCAAAACCAUUUCCCAAGACACCGUUGCGAGAGGUGGGAAUGCAGUGACGGAGAUAUAUGGGUAACAGGGUGCCCAAAACCAUCAGAUUUUGAUCAAUGGGGACCACUUGAUACCGAUCCAUACAUGUGGGAGAAGUGGCCUUAUUGUUGCUAAUGCAAUAAAGUAUUAUUGUUUUCACUUUACUAAA
This is a long non-coding RNA of Dermacentor silvarum, 408 nucleotides long. RefSeq lists it as uncharacterized. The transcript has 3 exons. The record is from RefSeq and is a predicted model, not a curated record. Lineage: Eukaryota; Metazoa; Arthropoda; Arachnida; Ixodida; Ixodidae.